RNAcentral lists this ribosomal RNA (497 nucleotides) under uncultured bacterium. RNAcentral's name for it is "partial 16S ribosomal RNA". It matches the Rfam family "Bacterial small subunit ribosomal RNA", at positions 28 to 507 of the family's 1533-position model. The record is from RNAcentral.
GAUGAACGCUGGCGGCGUGCCUAAUACAUGCAAGUCGAGCGAACGGACGAGAAGCUUGCUUCUCUGAUGUUAGCGGCGGACGGGUGAGUAACACGUGGAUAACCUACCUAUAAGACUGGGAUAACUUCGGGAAACCGGAGCUAAUACCGGAUAAUAUUUUGAACCGCAGGGUUCAAAAGUGAAAGACGGUCUUGCUGUCACUUAUAGAUGGAUCCGCGCUGCAUUAGCUAGUUGGUAAGGUAACGGCUCACCAAGGCAACGAUGCAUAGCCGACCUGAGAGGGUGAUCGGCCACACUGGAACUGAGACACGGUCCAGACUCCUACGGGAGGCAGCAGUGGGGAAUCUUCCGCAAUGGGCGCAAGCCUGACGGAGCAACGCCGCGUGAGUGAUGAAGGUCUUCGGAUCGUAAAACUCUGUUAUUAGGGAAGAACAUAUGUGUAAGUAACCGUGCACAUCUUGACGGUACCUAAUCAGAAAGCCCCGGCUAACUACGUG